ACUCCUACGGGAGGCAGCAGUGGGAAUAUUGCACAAUGGGCGGAAGCCUGAUGCAGCGACGCCGCGUGAGGGAUGACGGCCUUCGGGUUGUAAACCUCUUUCAGCUCUGACGAAGCUUUUGUGACGGUAGGAGCAGAAGAAGCACCGGCUAACUACGUGCCAGCAGCCGCGGUAAUACGUAGGGUGCGAGCGUUGUCCGGAAUUAUUGGGCGUAAAGAGCUUGUAGGCGGUUUGUCGCGUCUGCUGUGAAAGCCCGGGCUUAACUCCGGGUCUGCAGUGGGUACGGGCAGGCUAGAGUGUGGUAGGGGAGACUGGAAUUCCUGGUGUAGCGGUGGAAUGCGCAGAUAUCAGGAGGAACACCGAUGGCGAAGGCAGGUCUCUGGGCCAUUACUGACGCUGAGAAGCGAAAGCGUGGGGAGCGAACAGGAUUUAGAUA
RNAcentral lists this ribosomal RNA (436 nucleotides) under uncultured bacterium. RNAcentral's name for it is "bacterial SSU rRNA". It matches the Rfam family "Bacterial small subunit ribosomal RNA", at positions 335 to 784 of the family's 1533-position model. The record is from RNAcentral.